This 449-nucleotide ribosomal RNA is filed under the name uncultured bacterium. RNAcentral describes it as "partial 16S ribosomal RNA". It matches the Rfam family "Bacterial small subunit ribosomal RNA", at positions 29 to 523 of the family's 1533-position model. The record is from RNAcentral.
AACGAACGCUGGCGGCAUGCCUAACACAUGCAAGUCGAACGAGAUCUUCGGGUCUAGUGGCGCACGGGUGCGUAACGCGUGGGAAUCUGCCCUUUGGUUCGGAAUAACAGUUGGAAACGACUGCUAAUACCGGAUGAUGACGAAAGUCCAAAGAUUUAUCGCCAGAGGAUGAGCCCGCGUAGGAUUAGCUAGUUGGUGUGGUAAAGGCGCACCAAGGCGACGAUCCUUAGCUGGUCUGAGAGGACGAUCAGCCACACUGGGACUGAGACACGGCCCAGACUACUACGGGAGGCAGCAGUGGGGAAUAUUGGACAAUUGGCGAAAGCCUGAUCCAGCAAUGCCGCGUGAGUGAUGAAGGCCUUAGGGUUGUAAAGCUCUUUUACCCGGGAUGAUAAUGACAGUACCGGGAGAAUAAGCUCCGGCUAACUCCGUGCCAGCCGCCGCCGUAA